CUUCAGACGGUGCUCUUCCGAUGGGAGAUACCAUGAUCACGAAGGUGGUUUUCCCAGGGCGAGGCUUAUCCAUUGCACUCCGGAUGUGCUGACCCCUGCGAUUUCCCCAAAUGUGGGAAACUCGACUGCAUAAUUUGUGGUAGUGGGGGACUGCGUUCGCGCUUU
Long non-coding RNA from Bubalus bubalis (water buffalo), 165 nucleotides. RefSeq lists it as uncharacterized. The transcript has 4 exons. The record is from RefSeq and is a predicted model, not a curated record. Lineage: Eukaryota; Metazoa; Chordata; Mammalia; Artiodactyla; Bovidae.